RNAcentral lists this ribosomal RNA (497 nucleotides) under uncultured bacterium. Its description in RNAcentral is "partial 16S ribosomal RNA". It matches the Rfam family "Bacterial small subunit ribosomal RNA", at positions 28 to 507 of the family's 1533-position model. The record is from RNAcentral.
GAUGAACGCUGGCGGCGUGCCUAAUACAUGCAAGUCGAGCGAACAGACGAGGAGCUUGCUCCUCUGACGUUAGCGGCGGACGGGUGAGUAACACGUGGAUAACCUCCCUAUAAGACUGGGAUAACUUCGGGAAACCGGAGCUAAUACCGGAUAAUAUAUUGAACCGCAUGGUUCAAUAGUGAAAGACGGUUUUGCUGUCACUUAUAGAUGGAUCCGCGCUGCAUUAGCUAGUUGGUAAGGUCACGGCUUACCAAGGCAACGAUGCGUAGCCGACCUGAGAGGGUGAUCGGCCACACUGGAACUGAGACACGGUCCAGACUCCUACGGGAGGCAGCAGUAGGGAAUCUUCCGCAAUGGGCGAAAGCCUGACGGAGCAACGCCGCGUGAGUGAUGAAGGUCUUCGGAUCGUAAAACUCUGUUAUUAGGGAAGAACAAAUGUGUAAGUAACUAUGCACGUCUUGACGGUACCUAAUCAGAAAGCCACGGCUAACUACGUG